RNAcentral lists this ribosomal RNA (465 nucleotides) under Vreelandella stevensii. RNAcentral describes it as "partial 16S ribosomal RNA". It matches the Rfam family "Bacterial small subunit ribosomal RNA", at positions 338 to 795 of the family's 1533-position model. Lineage: Bacteria; Pseudomonadati; Pseudomonadota; Gammaproteobacteria; Oceanospirillales; Halomonadaceae. The record is from RNAcentral.
CCUACGGGAGGCAGCAGUGGGGAAUAUUGGACAAUGGGGGCAACCCUGAUCCAGCCAUGCCGCGUGUGUGAAGAAGGCCCUCGGGUUGUAAAGCACUUUCAGUGAGGAAGAACGCCUGGUGGUUAAUACCCAUCAGGAACGACAUCACUCACAGAAGAAGCACCGGCUAACUCCGUGCCAGCAGCCGCGGUAAUACGGAGGGUGCGAGCGUUAAUCGGAAUUACUGGGCGUAAAGCGCGCGUAGGUGGCUUGAUAAGCCGGUUGUGAAAGCCCCGGGCUCAACCUGGGAACGGCAUCCGGAACUGUCAAGCUAGAGUGCAGGAGAGGAAGGUAGAAUUCCCGGUGUAGCGGUGAAAUGCGUAGAGAUCGGGAGGAAUACCAGUGGCGAAGGCGGCCUUCUGGACUGACACUGACACUGAGGUGCGAAAGCGUGGGUAGCAAACAGGAUUAGAUACCCGGGUAGUC